CGACGCUGGCGGCGUGGAUUAGGCAUGCAAGUCGAACGGUAUUGGACCUUUCGGGGUUCAGAGAGUGGCGAACGGGUGAGUAACACGUAGGUAAUCUACCCUCAAGACGGGGACAACCCAGGGAAACUUGGGCUAAUACCGGAUGUGUGUAGUGGCUAUUUUUCUGAUUAUCAUUAUUUACGUAAGUGAGUAAUAAUAAGAAGGGAAAGUGGUUAUUACAUAAAAGGUGGCGUAAGCUGCCGCUUGGGGAUGAGCCUGCGUCCUAUUAGUUAGUUGGUGAGGUAACGGCUUACCAAGGCGAUGAUAGGUAGGCGGCCUUAACGGGUGGUCGCCCACACUGGGAUUGAGAUACGGCCCAGACUCCUACGGGAGGCAGCAGUCGAGAAUAGUCUACAAUGGACGGAAGUCUGAUAGUGCGACGCCGCGUGAACGAAGAAUCCCUUCGGGGUGUAAAGUUCUUUUAUACGUGAGCAGUGUCCUUUAUAUUAAUAGUAUAAGGGGAGAGAUAUUAGCGUAUGAAUAAGCAACGGCUAACUCCGUG
This 541-nucleotide ribosomal RNA is filed under the name uncultured bacterium. RNAcentral describes it as "bacterial SSU rRNA". It matches the Rfam family "Bacterial small subunit ribosomal RNA", at positions 33 to 507 of the family's 1533-position model. The record is from RNAcentral.